UGGGUUGUGGCUCAGUGGUAUAGCGCUCACCUAGCAUGUGUGAGGCACUGGGUUCAAUCUUCAGCGCCCCAC
This 72-nucleotide transfer RNA is filed under the name Ictidomys tridecemlineatus (thirteen-lined ground squirrel). Its description in RNAcentral is "Spermophilus tridecemlineatus (thirteen-lined ground squirrel) tRNA". The record is from Rfam by way of RNAcentral. Lineage: Eukaryota; Metazoa; Chordata; Mammalia; Rodentia; Sciuridae.